UCCUCUAUCAAAGCUCUUCUCUUUCUCUCUUUUCAUCAAGCCAACGCCUAAGUUCUCUCCAAGCUACUGUCCCCAUCUCUCUUUCUUUCUUCUUCAUAAGUCUAAGAGAGGUAUUAACCCUAGCAUGAUACCAUAUUCCUUUAUAGAUCCAUUCUCAAUAUCCCAAGAAGUUUAGGAGAGGUCCUAACCCUAGCAUGCAUUCCAUCAAAUC
RNAcentral lists this long non-coding RNA (211 nucleotides) under Elaeis guineensis (African oil palm). Its description in RNAcentral is "long non-coding RNA (EGUI_LNC033150)". The record is from RNAcentral. Lineage: Eukaryota; Viridiplantae; Streptophyta; Magnoliopsida; Arecales; Arecaceae.